RNAcentral lists this ribosomal RNA (47 nucleotides) under Otidea flavidobrunneola. RNAcentral describes it as "partial 18S ribosomal RNA". It matches the Rfam family "Eukaryotic small subunit ribosomal RNA", at positions 1788 to 1831 of the family's 1831-position model. Lineage: Eukaryota; Fungi; Ascomycota; Pezizomycetes; Pezizales; Pyronemataceae. The record is from RNAcentral.
GUCGUAACAAGGUUUCCGUAGGUGAACCUGCGGAAGGAUCAUUAAAA